RNAcentral lists this ribosomal RNA (468 nucleotides) under uncultured bacterium. RNAcentral's name for it is "partial 16S ribosomal RNA". It matches the Rfam family "Bacterial small subunit ribosomal RNA", at positions 28 to 507 of the family's 1533-position model. The record is from RNAcentral.
GACGAACGCUGGCGGCGUGCUUAACACAUGCAAGUCGAACGGAAAGGCCCUGCUUUUGUUGGGUUCUCGAGUGGCGAACGGGUGAGUAACACGUGUGUAACCUGCCCUUUACUUUGGUAUAACUUCAGGUAACUUGGGCUCAUACCGGAUAGGAGCUCCUGCUGCAUGGUGGGGGUUGGAAAGUUUCGGCGGUUGGGGAUGGACUCGCGGCUUAUCAGCUUGUUUGUUGGGUAGUGGCUUACCAAGGCUUUGACGGGUAUCCGGCAUGAGAGGGUGACCGGACACAUUGGGACUGAGAUACGGACCAGAAUACAACGGGAGGCAGCAGUGGGGAAUAGGGCACAAUGGGAGGAAGCCUGAUGAAGAAACGCAGCGUGCGGGAUGAAGGCCUUCGGGUUGUAAAACGAAUUAGCAUGUGACGAAGAGUGAGUGACGGUAAUGGGUAAAGAAGCACCGGCUAACUACGUG